RNAcentral lists this unclassified non-coding RNA (213 nucleotides) under Mattesia sp. SV-2003. RNAcentral's name for it is "partial external transcribed spacer". The record is from RNAcentral. Lineage: Eukaryota; Apicomplexa; Conoidasida; Neogregarinorida; Lipotrophidae.
UAUCCAGGCGGCUGGACACAUAGGUAUUACUUUGCGUCAGCCGAAAGUCGCUCAAGACAGACGUUUGAUUUUCAAACGUUUUGCUUGGUGGGUGGUUGUGUAGUGUGACAAAAUGCAGCUUUUUGUGUUAGGUCUUGUGGGUAACACAAAACCAACAAAAAAAGUGCUUUCAUAGGGCGUAAAAUCACAUCGUGAUGUAAUCCAUUAGCCGUA